Non-coding RNA from Acanthosepion pharaonis, 109 nucleotides. The record is from the annotation of a GenBank genome assembly. Lineage: Eukaryota; Metazoa; Mollusca; Cephalopoda; Sepiida; Sepiidae.
GCCAUGUCAUAUUAAAUCACAGGUUCUCGUUCGAUCGCCGAAGUUAAGCAUCGUCGAGAUUUGUCAGUACCUAGAUGGGUGACUGCUUGGGAUGACCAGGUGCUGUAAG